AGCUCCAAUAGCGUAUAUUAAAGUUGUUGCGGUUAAAAAGCUCGUAGUUGGAUUUCUGUUGAGAGCAGCGCGUCCACCUUUUGGGUGAGUAUGUUGUUUGAUCUCGGCAUCUUUUCGAAAAACGUUUCUGCGCUUGAUUGCGUGGGGCGGAGUUCGGAACUUUUACUUUGAGGAAAUUAGAGUGUUCACGGCAGGCAUACGCCCUGAAUAUAUUAGCAUGGAAUAAUAAUAUAGGACCUUGGUUUUAUUUUGUUGGUUUCUAGAGCUAAGGUAAUGAUUAAUAGGGACAAUUGGGGGCAUUCGUAUUAACGCGUCAGAGGUGAAAUUCUUGGAUUGCGUUACGACGAACUACUGCGAAAGCAUUUGCCAAGGAUGUUUUCA
RNAcentral lists this ribosomal RNA (381 nucleotides) under uncultured eukaryote. RNAcentral describes it as "SSU rRNA". It matches the Rfam family "Eukaryotic small subunit ribosomal RNA", at positions 587 to 972 of the family's 1831-position model. The record is from RNAcentral.